Molecule: ribosomal RNA, 253 nt
Filed under: uncultured bacterium
Lineage: Bacteria
Description: partial 16S ribosomal RNA
Rfam family: Bacterial small subunit ribosomal RNA
Source: RNAcentral
UACGGAGGGUGCAAGCGUUAUCCGGAUUCACUGGGUUUAAAGGGUGCGUAGGUGGGUUGGUAAGUCAGUGGUGAAAUCUCCGUGCUUAACAUGGAAACUGCCAUUGAUACUACUGAUCUUGAAUUUUCAGGAGGUAAGCGGAAUAUGUCAUGUAGCGGUGAAAUGCUUAGAUAUGACAUAGAACACCAAUUGCGAAGGCAGCUUACUACAGGAACAUUGACACUGAUGCACGAAAGCGUGGGGAGCGAACAGG